This 301-nucleotide ribosomal RNA is filed under the name uncultured bacterium. RNAcentral's name for it is "partial 16S ribosomal RNA". It matches the Rfam family "Bacterial small subunit ribosomal RNA", at positions 509 to 807 of the family's 1533-position model. The record is from RNAcentral.
CAGCAGCCGCGGUAAUACGAAGGGUGCAAGCGUUAAUCGGAAUUACUGGGCGUAAAGCGUGCGUAGGCGGUGAGUUAAGUCUGCUGUGAAAUCCCCGGGCUCAACCUGGGAAUGGCAGUGGAUACUGGCUCGCUAGAGUGUGUCAGAGGAUGGUGGAAUUCCCGGUGUAGCGGUGAAAUGCGUAGAGAUCGGGAGGAACAUCAGUGGCGAAGGCGGCCAUCUGGGACAACACUGAUGCUGAGGCACGAAAGCGUGGGGAGCAAACAGGAUUAGAUACCCGUGUAGUCCCUGUCUCUUAUAC